UGAUGAUUUUGUGUUAUCAACAUUAUUCAGUGGAUCUCCUAAGAAUGGAACUAUCGUACCAUGGAUAAUUGCCGUGGCUGUUGCUGUGGGACUUCUCCUCUUGGGUCUGGUGAUCGCUGGACUUGUCAAGGCCGGCUUUUUCAAGAGGACGACUAAAGAAGAAUUAGAAGCACUCAAAGAGGCUGAUCAGAGUGCACCAGGAAUAAGUGAAGAGGAAGCUUUAGCGCACAGCCAUGAUGUUGAAAACUCAUCCGAAAAAGAAGAAGCUUAAACUGUGUUGAAUGCAAUUUCAAGUUGUAAAAUUUUUGUGCUUUUUGUAUAUAGAUAUCUACAAAUAUUUCGCAGAAGAAGUUUAAGAAUGUUUGAGAAUAUUUGAAAUCAAGAGAAAGUUGUGUCAUAAUCAUAAACGUAUUUAGAUCAUAAGUAGUAAACAUUCAAAUAUCACUUAAGUAGUGUAAAUAUGAGACUGAAAGUGAACGAUUAAGCAUUUUUAUAUUUAAAGUCAUAUAAUUUAUUUCUAAGAUAUAGAUAUAGAAUAUCUGUGAUGAAUAAAUUCCAAACGUUAUAUUAUAAAUUAUUAAUAAAUCAAUUCUAUAUAAAA
This is a long non-coding RNA of Ctenocephalides felis (cat flea), 601 nucleotides long. RefSeq lists it as uncharacterized. The record is from RefSeq and is a predicted model, not a curated record. The transcript is spliced from 3 exons. Lineage: Eukaryota; Metazoa; Arthropoda; Insecta; Siphonaptera; Pulicidae.